Long non-coding RNA from Fukomys damarensis (Damara mole-rat), 2749 nucleotides. NCBI's taxonomy places the organism in Eukaryota, Metazoa, Chordata, Mammalia, Rodentia, Bathyergidae. The record is from Ensembl.
AUGAGCACACUCCGCCGUUCCGGGACUCCGGAUCUGAACCGCGGCCCUGAAAUGCUCCUCAUCUGUCCCCUGGUUCCGCGAGCCUCGGAGGCAUGGCGGCGCCUCUCCAUGGGCUCCCAGAUCAUGAUGGCAGCAUGGCCUGGCCAUAGGAGAGACGCAGACUGUCAGGCCCACUCCAGCCCCGCUGCACCACAAGCCCAGUGGGGCAGCCUCACGCUCUGGGUUUUAAACAGCUGGGAGGUUUUGGAUUAUCCCAGACUGACCGGUGCCCAAACUCAUCUUCAUUCGCCUCAGCUGUUUCUCUCACCGCUGCAGCCAGUCCUUUGUCAGCCUCUUUCCUGUCGCCGUUCCUUCUCCGGUCCGCGGUCUGCUUCGUCCAAGGGCAGAUCCCCUGACAGUGGGACCUUCAUACUCUGUGUCUCGUCUACAGUCCACCCUACGCAUGGACAAACAUUACACUCCCUCCAGUGCAGCAUUCUCAAAAGACUUCUUCCUUUAGCCGAGCAUGGUGGUACAUGCCUGUAAUUCCCAGCACUCUGGGAAGCUGAGGCAGGAGGAUUCCGAGUUCAAGACCAGCCUGGGCAAUUUAGCAAUUUAGCAACGUCCUGUCUCAAAAAAUGAAAAAGGUUGAGGCUAUAACUCAGCGUGAAGGCCAUGGUUUCAAUCUCAAGUACCAAAAAGAAAAUUCUUUUAAAAAAUAAACUGUCAUUGAUGAGUAAUCAUUUUACAUAUUUAUGGUGUUUAGUGUAGCACUUCAAUUCGUAUUUACAAUUCACAGGGUGAUCAGCGUUUCCAUCUCCUCAAACAUUUAUCAUUUCUAUUUGUGGAGAACUUUGAACUCUUCUCUUCAAACCAAACUUAGCCUGGUCUGGCUUUCCUACUGCCCGAAGAGGGAAGAACUGAGAACCUUCUAACUCUUCUAGCUGUUUUGAGAUACAGAAUACAUUGACACAGACUAUAGUUGCUCCACUGUGUGCUAGAACAUCAGAACGAGUUCUUCCCAUCUAGCUGUCUUUGAGUGCCCUUUGCUUCAGCCUCUUUCUAUCCCUCCCUCUCACCUUCUCAGCUUAUCGUGGCCAUUAUUCUAUUUCCUGCUUCUAUAAAAACAGCCAAAGGCCGGGCGUGGUGGCGUACGCCUGUCAUCCCAGCACUCGGGAGGCUGAGGCAGGAGGAUCGCUGUGAGUUCGAGACCAGCCUGGGCUACAAAGUGAGUUCCAGGUCAGUCUCAACCACAUGGUGAGACCCUGUCUCAAAAAAAAAAAAAAAAAAAAAAAAAGCCGAAGAAUUGGUUCUUUCUCCUUAAAAGUGUGUAUUAACUUAUAUUACCACAAUAUCGCAGUAUAAGGGGUGAUAAAAUGUGUGGUGAAUAUUUAUUGAUUUAUGUUAUUUUAUUUUAUUAGUACUGGGGAUCAAACUCAGGCCCUUGUGCUUACGAGGCAGGGCGUGAAAUGACUGAGCUAAAUCCCCAGUCCCAUUGGUGAAUAUUUAAAUUUUUAAAAUGUAUUACAGUAAUAACCACAUUGUCCUUAAUCCUCCUCAGAACCCUCCCCUCCCUUCAAACACACUUGUUCCACGGCUCUUCCACUUUCUGAAGUGGUUCUGGAGUCUUCUUUCAUGAGUGUCAAAAUUUUCAGUGAAUGCUGUUGCCAAGCGCCGCCCAACAGAGAGGCAGGCUCGUAAAAACAUCCCUGUGUGUCCUUGUCCGUCUCAUUCCUGAGAUCCGGCAGUGGGACGCUUCUGGUUCUUCCUAAGUCCAAAUGACCAGGAAAAGUAAACUUUCCUAGUGGAUUCAGGACAUUGAGGCAGCCACGACAGCAUGACUAGAGACCCUCAUGAAAGAGGACUCCAGAACCGCUUCAGAAAGUGGCAGGAAAGAUGUGAUAAAUGUGUUUGAAGUGAGGGGGUAUUUUGAUGGGGAGGGAUGGCAAUGUGUCUCUUACCAGAAUACUUUUUUAUUUUGGUACCUGGGAUUGAACGCAGGUUGUCCUUGUGCUUGCAAAGCAGGUGGUGGAACCACUGAGCUAAGUCCCCAGCCCUCUAGAAUACAAUUUGUAAAGAUCUAGGUAUUCACUGUAUUGUUUGAUCACACCGUGUAUACCAGAGUGUCCCCCGUCUCAGCGGCUUAUGGCAACAGGUAUCUGUUAUUGCUGAUGUGUUUCUCUGUCCACUGUGGUCAGCUGCUCUGGGCAGCCGGGAGCUCUGUUCCACCACAGCUCUGCAUGCAGCUCUGUUCCACGGCUCUUGUCCUCCUCGCUGUAGUGACUUCCCUAGGACACGCCAUUCUCCCGGGCUUGGCAGCAGGGAAGAGGGCAAGUGAAAGUGCUCAGUGUGCCACCCAAGGUUACACCUGCCUGGAUGUCAGCCUUCAGUGUCUGGUCACUCCCACCCUCGCAGCCCAGGCCCCUCACCUGGGUUCACCAGGCAGGACGGAGCUCAUAGGAAUCUCGUGGAAGCGGGACCAGACCCGGCCAUGCUGGACAGUGGAUUCCCUGGCUUUUGCACUGCCCAGAGACGCGGGAGGGACUGUUUGGGUCCACUUGCUGUUGGUGGUUUGUACAAAAUAAACAGCAAACAAUUUCUCUUCAAUGAAAUAGACUGAACCACAGAUCAUCUUUGUGGCCCUUUCUUCCUUUCUUUGCCUUGGGGAAAAAUAUCUCAAGGAAUUAUUUUCUCCUUAACAAUGGCAACAGUUUAUUCCUGUUGCUUUGACUUGGAUCCUCUUUACUUUCUUUUUUUUCUAGACUGAGAG